CGUCAGUGACAGUGACAUCUGUCAUUAGUGUCAAACCGACCAAAUAAAAUUUUAUUGUCAACAAGCCAUAUUGAUAUUCCAUCAAUUUAUUUUUAAUUUUUUUUUUAAAAACAUUAGCUCUUAGUUAAACCUACGGCGGAAAUUAGGAUGGAUUCGACGAAGAAGGCAUCAUUGUCCGAUGAGGAGGAGGAUUUGGAAGCCUUGCGUUUGGCUGCAUUACAGACCUUAAAAAAACCUUCUAAUCCAAACGAGGGCUCGAAUAACGAUCUAAAAAACGAUGUGAGGCCUAAAAGGUCUUACAGGGCUGGCAUGAGAGGGCAAGGAAACUAUGGGGUUAAGAGAGGAAGAUAUUUUGGCCAUAGGGGGUCAAAGAAUGGUCAAUUUCACAACAGAGCUAUCUCCAGCAACUUAAUUUCCCUCACGCCCACCCUACCGUCAGAACCCAAGGCAACUAAAGAAGCCAGCAACGAUUCGAAGCUAACACUAACCCAAGACAGGUUCAAUAAUAAAGCAGACUCGGAAUCGGGCAAAACAGACGAAAAAUGCAGCAAAUUCGACCGCUACAAAGACUCCGAUGAAUCUGAAGACGAGGACACGGAAGACGAAUUAUUAAGAAGCGACUCAGACGACGACAGUCCUUUAAAAUUAACGAGAUCGGAUAGUUUGGAGGCCUUGAUGCAAGAGCUCGAUGACGAGAUACAGGGCAAAACAAAAAUCAACAGCGAAGAGAAAAGUAAAGGCAAAAUAAAAAGUAAAAGGAAAAGAGUUGAGACUGAACAAGAAAGUGAAAAACCGGCACCCACAGUCGAAUCCUCCCCUAAAGAGAUAGAAAAAACUCUUGAGGAACCUAAAGAAGUAAUCAAAUCAGAAGAACUUGCUACACACGCAGAACCCCCUAAACCAACUUCACUACCGAAAUCACCUGAGCUUCAACAACCCCCAAAAAAGUGUCGCCGCUCACCACCAUUUAAACGAGAAUUCCGAGAUGGGCCCAGGGGUAAUCCGCGGAAAUUUCAGCGCGUCACACCACCACAAAAUAAUCCUCUGCCGCCCUUUAUGCCCGUUCCUCCAGUUUAUUCACUUCCCGCUUUUGCCCCGGGCGUAAUAAUGAACCCUGCUCCUUUUUUGGAUGCCAGGCCAAUAUCUCCCCUUCACAUUAACGCGGAAACAUUACAAAAUCAAACUCUGGCCCCCUUAUCGCCCAGAAGCGCCGCUUUCGUGCUGCAAAAUAGAGCCAUUAUAGAAAAGCGAAAAAGGUCACCAAGGAGAUCGUAUUCCAGAAGUCCCUCCCCAAGGAGCCCUAGAAGGUCAGUUUCGCCACGAAGAAGGUCUUUGUCGCCUAGAGAUCCGAUAAGAAAAAGGUCUCUAACUCCAAUAAGAAAGAGGUUACCAUCCCCGUUUCGAAAACGAUCACUGUCUCCAUUAAGAAAAAGAUCGCCGAGAAGAAGAUCGAUUAGUCCCAAACGAAGACCAUUUAGUCCCAAGCAAAGACCAAUUAGCCCUAAAGCGAAACAAAACAGUCCUAAAAGGAGAUCGUUAUCACCACUGAGACGUAGAGAUCGAGACAGGAAAGUUACCGCAGAACCUACUGAGGGUGCCUCAAAACCGAAGCAAAGUAUUCGGGAGCGUCUGGGCAUGAAAUCGUCUAAGCCAGAAGAAAAGGAGUCUACAAAAGAUAAACCUGUUGAGGACCAAAGCCUUCCUGAAGAAGACAAACCUUUGGACCCAGUACUUGAGGCCAGAAAGAAGAAAUUCGAAUCAAAAGAAAUCAAAAUCAGGGAGGGAGUGAUAAGACUGAAACCGAAAGUGGAGGAUAGCAAUAUUAAAAAACAAGAGGAGAAACUCGAGGAAACAUCCGCUCCAGCGGUAAAAAGCGAAGAUGACGAUGUUGUUAAUGAAGACCUCUUGUUGGAGGACGACGAGUUGGAGUUGGAUGCCGACCACGCCGAUUUGUUUAGCGACGAAGACUCUGCUACUGAUAACGAGGGCAGGUUUAAAGCCAAAGAAGUGUCUGAGGAAAAGCCAACAGCGAUUUCUUUUAAUAAGUUGACCAAUGGAGCUAAACCAGAGCUACGCCCUGAAAGACCUAUAGAAUCAAGACCAAGAAGAUCGAGGGCACGAUCGAGAAGCCCCCGCUUAAGAACCGGAAGGAAACUAACCGAAGUUAAAUCCGCCAUAACGCAGGCGUCUCGAUCAACGAAAUCCGAAAACGUUCAUCAGACAUCCCGGAAGAAGUUCGGCGUGAAAUCCGAACGUCAUCCGAAGAAGUUCGAAAGAAAAAUCGAGAUUAAGAUCAAGAAUCCGUCGAAGUAUACUGACCGAGAGGAAAAGGAGGCGGCGCGAGCAAUUGAAACGGGAGUGGAAGUGGGAGUGGGAAGCGAGCACGUCGUAGAUAAAGUCGAAAUCGAAGAUGACGAUGACGAAACCGAAAUCGUCAUCGAAAAUUACGAGGGUGAAAUCGAAAAUGUGUGCAGCAGUGAAGGUAGGCGAUUUGAGGGCGCAAUUAAGCAAAAAACGCGCAGAAAAGCUUCAAAGUCGCACCACAGUGUCCCGGGAGGGCGUCAGUUCCAGAUUACUACAAACCGCCCUUAAACACGCAUUGCCAGUAAAAAAACCGAAAAAAUCGAAGAAAAAAGAUCUUUCUAGUGGCGAAUUGGAGACGAUCAAAAGUCUGUUUACGGCGGAUUUUAUCGCAAGUCGGUUACAAUUGACAGUCCGUUCCAAAAGACAAGUUACCAUUUAUAAGCGUAAAAAAUUCCCGUUUGGUUUUAGAAGGUCCCAUUGUCGUCCAG
Molecule: unclassified non-coding RNA, 2792 nt
Filed under: Anthonomus grandis grandis
Lineage: Eukaryota; Metazoa; Arthropoda; Insecta; Coleoptera; Curculionidae
Description: serine/threonine-protein kinase PRP4 homolog
Source: RNAcentral